RNAcentral lists this transfer RNA (67 nucleotides) under Marmota monax (woodchuck). RNAcentral's name for it is "tRNA.Ala". The record is from RNAcentral. Lineage: Eukaryota; Metazoa; Chordata; Mammalia; Rodentia; Sciuridae.
GGAGGUAGCUCAGUGGGAGAAGUUGGGCUUAGCAUGUCUAAGGUCCUGGGUUCUAUCCCCAGCACCA